GACGAACGCUGGCGGCGUGCUUAACACAUGCAAGUCGAACGGAAAGGCCCUGCUUUUGUGGGGUGCUCGAGUGGCGAACGGGUGAGUAACACGUGAGUAACCUGCCCUUGACUUUGGGAUAACUUCAGGAAACUGGGGCUAAUACCGGAUAGGAGCUCCUGCUGCAUGGUGGGGGUUGGAAAGUUUCGGCGGUUGGGGAUGGACUCGCGGCUUAUCAGCUUGUUGGUGGGGUAGUGGCUUACUAAGGCUUUGACGGGUAGCCGGCCUGAGAGGGUGACCGGCCACAUUGGGACUGAGGUACGGCGCAGACUCCUACGGGAGGCAGCAGUGGGGAAUAUUGCACAAUGGGCGGAAGCUUGAUGCAGCAACGCCGCGUGCGGGAUGACGGCCUUCGGGUUGUAAACCGCUUUCGCCUGUGACGAAGCGUGAGUGACGGUAAUGGGUAAAGAAGCAACGGCUAACUACGUG
RNAcentral lists this ribosomal RNA (468 nucleotides) under uncultured bacterium. Its description in RNAcentral is "partial 16S ribosomal RNA". It matches the Rfam family "Bacterial small subunit ribosomal RNA", at positions 28 to 507 of the family's 1533-position model. The record is from RNAcentral.